RNAcentral lists this ribosomal RNA (407 nucleotides) under uncultured bacterium. RNAcentral describes it as "bacterial SSU rRNA". It matches the Rfam family "Bacterial small subunit ribosomal RNA", at positions 28 to 432 of the family's 1533-position model. The record is from RNAcentral.
GAUUAACGCUGGCGGCGUGCAUAACACAUUCAAGUCGAACGGAGUAGGGUGCUUCGGUACUCUGCUUAGUGGCGGACGGGUGAGUAACGCGUGAGCAAUCUACCUCUCGGUACGGGAUAACAACCGGAAACAGUUGCUAAUACCGUAUAAAACGGCAGUCUCGCAUGGGACAACCGUCAAAGAUUUAUUGCCGAGAGAUGAGCUUGCGUCCGAUUAGGUAGUUGGUGAGGUAACGGCCCACCAAGCCGACGAUCGGUAGCCGGACUGAGAGGUUGAACGGCCACAUUGGAACUGAGAUACGGUCCAGACUCCUACGGAGGCAGCAGUGGGGAAUAUUGGGCAAUGGGCGAAAGCCUGACCCAGCAAUGCCGCGUGAAGGAAGAAGGCCCUUCGGGUUGGUAAAACUU